RNAcentral lists this ribosomal RNA (737 nucleotides) under uncultured bacterium. Its description in RNAcentral is "bacterial SSU rRNA". It matches the Rfam family "Bacterial small subunit ribosomal RNA", at positions 28 to 776 of the family's 1533-position model. The record is from RNAcentral.
AGUGAACGCUGGCGGCGUGCUUAACACAUGCAAGUGAACGAGAACGGAUAUUAGCUUGCUAAUAUUGUCAGCUAAGUGGCGCACGGGUGAGUAAUAUAUAGAUAAUAUGCCUUCUACUAAGGAAUAACAAUUGGAAACGAUUGCUAAUGCCUUAUAUGCCUUUUAAACAAAAGUUUGUAAAGGGAAAGAUUUAUCGGUAGAAGAUUAGUCUGUAUAGUAUCAGUUAGCUGGUAGGGUAAUGGCCUACCAAGACAAUGACGCUUAACUGGUUUGAGAGGAUGAUCAGUCACACUGGAACUGAGACACGGUCCAGACUCCUACGGGAGGCAGCAGUGGGGAAUAUUGCACAAUGGACGAAAGUCUGAUGCAGCAACGCCGCGUGGAGGAUGACACAUUUCGGUGCGUAAACUCCUUUUAUAUAGGAAGAUAAUGACGGUACUAUAUGAAUAAGCACCGGCUAACUCCGUGCCAGCAGCCGCGGUAAUACGGAGGGUGCAAGCGUUACUCGGAAUCACUGGGCGUAAAGAGCGUGUAGGCGGAUAAAUAAGUCAGAAGUGAAAUCCUAUAGCUUAACUAUAGAACUGCUUUUGAAACUGUUAAUCUAGAAUGUGGGAGAGGUAGAUGGAAUUUCUGGUGUAGGGGUAAAAUCCGUAGAGAUCAGAAGGAAUACCGAUUGCGAAGGCGAUCUACUGGAACAAUAUUGACGCUGAGACGCGAAAGCGUGGGGAGCAAACAGG